GAUAGCCGGCCUAACGGCCGAGUAAUACCGCAUACGCUUUCAGUGAGGCAUUUCAUUGAAAGGAAACCUACGGGACAGAUCGUGGGUCUCGCGGUAUCNUUGCANAUUGGCGAGGUAACGGCUCACCAAGGCAACGACGGGUAGCUGGUCUGAGAGGAUGGCCAGCCACAUUGGGACUGAGAUACGGCCCAGACUCCUACGGGAGGCAGCAGUGGGGAAUCUUGCGCAAUGGCCUAACGGCUGACGCAGCGACGCCGCGUGUGGGAUGAAGCUCUUCGGAGUGUAAACCACUGUUGCCCGGGACGAACAGCUCGAUUUCUCGAGCCUGACGGUACCGGGUGAGGAAGCACCGGCUAACUCCGUGCCAGCAGCCGCGGUAAUACGGGGGGUGCGAGCGUUGUCCGGAAUCACUGGGCGUAAAGGGCGCGUAGGUGGUUUGAUAAGGGUGUGGUGAAAGUCCGGGGCUCAACCCCGGAUCUGCCGUGCCGACUGUCAAACUCGAGGGCUGUAGAGGCAGACGGAAUUCCGGGUGUAGCGGUGGAAUGCGUAGAGAUCCGGAGGAAGACCGGUGGCGAA
This 576-nucleotide ribosomal RNA is filed under the name uncultured Gemmatimonas sp. RNAcentral's name for it is "bacterial SSU rRNA". It matches the Rfam family "Bacterial small subunit ribosomal RNA", at positions 142 to 719 of the family's 1533-position model. The record is from RNAcentral. Lineage: Bacteria; Pseudomonadati; Gemmatimonadota; Gemmatimonadia; Gemmatimonadales; Gemmatimonadaceae.